AUGCAAGUCGAACGGUAGAGGGGGCAACCCCUUGAGAGUGGCGAACGGGUGAGUAAUAUAUCGGAACGUGCCCAGUCGUGGGGGAUAACGUAGCGAAAGUUACGCUAAUACCGCAUACGAUCUAAGGAUGAAAGCGGGGGACUCGCAAGAGCCUCGCGCGAUUGGAGCGGCCGAUAUCAGAUUAGGUAGUUGGUGGGGUAAAGGCUAACCAAGCCAACGAUCUGUAGCUGGUCUGAGAGGACGACCAGCCACACUGGAACUGAGACACGGUCCAGACUCCUACGGGAGGCAGCAGUGGGGAAUUUUGGACAAUGGACGCAAGUCUGAUCCAGCCAUUCCGCGUGCAGGAUGAAGGCCCUCGGGUUGUAAACUGCUUUUGUACGGAACGAAAAGGUUUGUCUUAAUACGAUGAGCUCAUGACGGUACCGUAAGAAUAAGCACCGGCUAACUACGUGCCAGCAGCCGCGGUAAUACGUAGGGUGCAAGCGUUAAUCGGAAUUACUGGGCGUAAAGCGUGCGCAGGCGGUUAUGUAAGACAGAGGUGAAAUCCCCGGGCUCAACCUGGGAACUGCCUUUGUGACUGCAUAGCUAGAGUACGGUAGAGGGGGAUGGAAUUCCGCGUGUAGCAGUGAAAUGCGUAGAUAUGCGGAGGAACACCGAUGGCGAAGGCAAUCCCCUGGACCUGUACUGACGCUCAUGCACGAAAGCGUGGGGAGCAAACAGGAUUAGAUACCCUGGUAGUCCACG
Molecule: ribosomal RNA, 747 nt
Filed under: uncultured beta proteobacterium
Lineage: Bacteria; Pseudomonadati; Pseudomonadota; Betaproteobacteria
Description: bacterial SSU rRNA
Rfam family: Bacterial small subunit ribosomal RNA
Source: RNAcentral